CGCGGGAAUCUACCCUGCCCUGCGGAAUAGCUCCGGGAAACUGGUGUUAAUACCGCAUACGCCCUUCGGGGGAAAGAUUUAUCGGGGUGGGAUGAGCCCGCGUUGGAUUAUCUAGUUGGAGGGGUAAAGGCCUACCAAGGCGACGAUCCAUAGCUGGUCUGAGAGGAUGAUCAGCCACAUUGGGACUGAGACACGGCCCAAACUCCUACGGGAGGCAGCAGUGGGGAAUAUUGGACAAUGGGCGCAAGCCUGAUCCAGCCAUGCCGCGUGAGUGAUGAAGGCCUUAGGGUUGUAAAGCUCUUUCACCGGACAAGAUAAUGACGGUAUCCGGAGAAGAAGCCCCGGCUAACUUCGUGCCAGCACCCGCGGUAAUACGAAGGGGGCUAGCGUUGUUCGGAUUUACUGGGCGUAAAGCGCACGUACGCGGACAUUUAAGUCAGGGGUGAAAUCCCAGAGCUCAACCCUGGAACUGCCUUUGAUACUGGGUAUCUUGAGUAUGGAAGAGGUAAGUGGAAUUCCGAGUGUAUAGGUGAAAUUCGUAGA
Molecule: ribosomal RNA, 543 nt
Filed under: uncultured bacterium
Lineage: Bacteria
Description: bacterial SSU rRNA
Rfam family: Bacterial small subunit ribosomal RNA
Source: RNAcentral